RNAcentral lists this ribosomal RNA (444 nucleotides) under uncultured bacterium. RNAcentral's name for it is "bacterial SSU rRNA". It matches the Rfam family "Bacterial small subunit ribosomal RNA", at positions 354 to 796 of the family's 1533-position model. The record is from RNAcentral.
GUAGGGAAUAUUGGGCAAUGGUCGGAAGACUGACCCAGCCAUGCCGCGUGCAGGAAGACGGCCCUCUGGGUUGUAAACUGCUUUUAUCUGGGAAGAAAAAGGCCAUGCGUGGCAAAUUGCCGGUACCAGAUGAAUAAGCACCGGCUAACUCCGUGCCAGCAGCCGCGGUAAUACGGAGGGUGCGAGCGUGGUCCGGAUUUAUUGGGUUUAAAGGGUGCGUAGGCGGCUGAUUAAGUCAGCGGUGAAAGACUUCGGCUUAACCGGAGCAGUGCCGUUGAUACUGGUUGGCUUGAGUGUCGGAGGGGUACAUGGAAUUGAUGGUGUAGCGGUGAAAUGCAUAGAUACCAUCAGGAACACCGAUAGCGAAGGCAUUGUACUGGCCGACAACUGACGCUGAUGCACGAAAGUGUGGGGAUCGAACAGGAUUAGAAACCCCAGUAGUCC